RNAcentral lists this ribosomal RNA (465 nucleotides) under uncultured bacterium. RNAcentral's name for it is "partial 16S ribosomal RNA". It matches the Rfam family "Bacterial small subunit ribosomal RNA", at positions 28 to 507 of the family's 1533-position model. The record is from RNAcentral.
GACGAACGCUGGCGGCGUGCUUAACACAUGCAAGUCGAACGGAAAGGCCCUGCUUGCAGGGUACUCGAGUGGCGAACGGGUGAGUAACACGUGGGUGAUCUGCCCUGCACUUCGGGAUAAGCUUGGGAAACUGGGUCUAAUACCGGAUAGGAGCCAUUUUUAGUGUGAUGGUUGGAAAGUUUUUUCGGUGUAGGAUGAGCUCGCGGCCUAUCAGCUUGUUGGUGGGGUAAUGGCCUACCAAGGCGGCGACGGGUAGCCGGCCUGAGAGGGUGGACGGCCACAUUGGGACUGAGAUACGGCCCAGACUCCUACGGGAGGCAGCAGUGGGGAAUAUUGCACAAUGGGCGCAAGCCUGAUGCAGCGACGCCGCGUGGGGGAUGACGGCCUUCGGGUUGGAAACUCCUUUCGCUAGGGACGAAGCUUUUUGUGACGGUACCUAGAUAAGAAGCACCGGCUAACUACGUG